RNAcentral lists this ribosomal RNA (549 nucleotides) under uncultured Glomeraceae. Its description in RNAcentral is "SSU rRNA". It matches the Rfam family "Eukaryotic small subunit ribosomal RNA", at positions 548 to 1098 of the family's 1831-position model. The record is from RNAcentral. Lineage: Eukaryota; Fungi; Glomeromycota; Glomeromycetes; Glomerales; Glomeraceae.
UUGGAGGGCAAGUCUGGUGCCAGCAGCCGCGGUAAUUCCAGCUCCAAUAGCGUAUAUUAAAGUUGUUGCAGUUAAAAAGCUCGUAGUUGAAUUUCGGGGUUAGUAGGUUGGUCAUGCCUCUGGUAUGUACUGGUCUCACUGAUUCCUCCUUCCUGAUGAGCCGUAAUGCCAUUAAUUUGGUGUUGCGGGGAAUUUGGACUGUUACUUUGGAAAAAUUAGAGUGUUUAAAGCAAGCUAACGCUUGAAUACAUUAGCAUGGAAUAAUGAAAUAGGACGUUCGAUCCUAUUUUGUUGGUUUCUAGGAUUGACGUAAUGAUUAAUAGGGAUAGUUGGGGGCAUUAGUAUUCAAUUGUCAGAGGUGAAAUUCUUGGAUUUAUUGAAGACUAACUACUGCGAAAGCAUUUGCCAAGGAUGUUUUCAUUAAUCGAGAACGAAAGUUAGGGGAUCGAAGACGAUCAGAUACCGUCGUAGUCUUAACCAUAAACUAUGCCGACUAGGGAUCGGAUGAUGUUAAUUUUUUAAUGACUCAUUCGGCGCCUUACGGGAAAC